Molecule: long non-coding RNA, 749 nt
Organism: Tachysurus vachellii
Lineage: Eukaryota; Metazoa; Chordata; Actinopteri; Siluriformes; Bagridae
Exons: 3
Source: RefSeq, a predicted model, not a curated record
GAGUCCCACAUCUCUGCGUUUGAAUACUCAUUAACUUGUGUAUGUGAAAAAAAAAGAAAGAAAACAAAAAAACAAAAGCAUUUAGAUCCAUGUCAUGGCAGCUGAGACGAUGCAGACAAGGACUGAGCGGCUUCAUAACGUCUGCCUCGCCCUGACGGCCUACAAUCCUGUCCCGACACAGAACAGAGCUGAGUGCAGUCCGGGAUCUAGACGCGACCUGGAGGCUUUUACUGUCUCUGUUCCUGAACCUUAACAUCAGGAUCUUCCUGCACAUAUAGAGAGCCCCGGCAUGAAGCUUUUGGACGAGCUUAUGGCAAAGCUGGAGUUUGAGAACGAGUUAAACCGAGUGUGUAACAGUUUCUCUGUGAACGGGAACACACCGUCGGCACGAGGAGACAGCACAGGAAGUGAAGACAGCGGUGUGGAUGAAGGAGCUUCCGACGGAGAAGAGGACGAGAAGGACGUGAGUCUCAUGGACACGGUUCUGGACAUGGAGCAGGACUAUGAGCUUUUACCUUUAAUAUGACUUAAUAUUCAUUGAGGGAAGAUGCUUAUAAAUAUGUAUUAAUUUAUUUAUUUAUUUAUUUGAUGCACUAUAAAUAUAUUUUCUCUCAGUUGUGACCUCCUCCAUUAAUAGGUAGGCUGAUCAAAGAUGGGAAUAAUCUGAUGUUGAAACUUAUAUUGAUAUAUUUCACCUCCAAAACGUUUUGUUGCCUUCGGAGGAUACACGAGAGUCUUACAACCUUAUA